AACGAACGCUGGCGGCAUGCCUAACACAUGCAAGUCGAACGAGACCUUCGGGUCUAGUGGCGCACGGGUGCGUAACGCGUGGGAACCUGCCCUUAGGUUCGGAAUAACUCCCCGAAAGGGGUGCUAAUACCGGAUAAUGUCUUCGGACCAAAGAUUUAUCGCCUUUGGAUGGGCCCGCGUUGGAUUAGCUAGUUGGUAGGGUAAAAGCCUACCAAGGCGACGAUCCAUAGCUGGUCUGAGAGGAUGAUCAGCCACACUGGGACUGAGACACGGCCCAGACUCCUACGGGAGGCAGCAGUGGGGAAUAUUGGACAAUGGGCGAAAGCCUGAUCCAGCAAUGCCGCGUGAGUGAUGAAGGCAUUAGGGUUGUAAAGCUCUUUUACCCGGGAUGAUAAUGACAGUACCGGGGGAAUAAGCUCCGGCUAACUCCGUG
Molecule: ribosomal RNA, 433 nt
Filed under: uncultured bacterium
Lineage: Bacteria
Description: partial 16S ribosomal RNA
Rfam family: Bacterial small subunit ribosomal RNA
Source: RNAcentral